RNAcentral lists this ribosomal RNA (440 nucleotides) under uncultured bacterium. RNAcentral's name for it is "partial 16S ribosomal RNA". It matches the Rfam family "Bacterial small subunit ribosomal RNA", at positions 338 to 795 of the family's 1533-position model. The record is from RNAcentral.
CCUACGGGUGGCAGCAGUGGGGAAUAUUGCACAAUGGGGGAAACCCUGAUGCAGCGACGCCGCGUGAGUGAAGAAGUAUUUCGGUAUGUAAAGCUCUAUCAUCAGGGAAGAAAAUUACGGUAACUGAUUAAGAAUCCCCUGCUAACUACGUGCCAGCAGCCGCGGUCAUACGGAGGGGGCAAGCGUUAUCCGGAUUUACUGGGUGUAAAGGGAGCGUAGACGGGAGCGCAAAGCUGAAGUGAAAUGCCGGGGCUUAACCCCGUGACAGCUUUGGAAACUGUGCAGCUAGAGUGCAGGAGAGGUAAGUGGAAUUCCUAGUGUAGCGGUGAAAUGCGUAGAUAUUAGGAGGAACACCAGUGGCGAAGGCGGCUGACUGGACUGUAACUGACGUUGAGGCUCGAAAGCGUGGGGAGCAAACAGGAUUAGAUACCCCAGUAGUC